Ceratitis capitata (Mediterranean fruit fly) is the source of this 127-nucleotide small nucleolar RNA. RefSeq annotates it as small nucleolar RNA psi18S-841/snoR66. The transcript has a single exon. Lineage: Eukaryota; Metazoa; Arthropoda; Insecta; Diptera; Tephritidae. The record is from RefSeq and is a predicted model, not a curated record.
UGCAAGCGCACUCUGUGUUAUCAUUUAACUGUGUGAUAAAACAAUUUGUAAACUUGCGAAAUUAAAGCGCUUUAUAAAAAUGCUUUUGAAGAAUCACAUUCAAAAGAAUCUAUAAAAGCAAUAUUCA